RNAcentral lists this ribosomal RNA (467 nucleotides) under uncultured bacterium. RNAcentral describes it as "partial 16S ribosomal RNA". It matches the Rfam family "Bacterial small subunit ribosomal RNA", at positions 28 to 507 of the family's 1533-position model. The record is from RNAcentral.
GACGAACGCUGGCGGCGUGCUUAACACAUGCAAGUCGAACGGAAAGGCCCUGCUUUUGUGGGGUGCUCGAGUGGCGAACGGGUGAGUAACACGUGAGUAACCUGCCCUUGACUUUGGGAUAACUUCAGGAAACUGGGGCUAAUACCGGAUAGGAGCUCCUGCUGCAUGGUGGGGGUUGGAAAGUUUCGGCGGUUGGGGAUGGACUCGCGGCUUAUCAGCUUGUUGGUGGGUAGUGGCUUACCAAGGCUUUGACGGGUAGCCGGCCUGAGAGGGUGACCGGCCACAUUGGGACUGGGAUACGGCCCAGACUCCUACGGGAGGCAGCAGUGGGGAAUAUUGCACAAUGGGCGGAAGCCUGAUGCAGCAACGCCGCGUGCGGGAUGACGGCCUUCGGGUUGUAAACCGCUUUCGCCUGUGACGAAGCGUGAGUGACGGUAAUGGGUAAAGAAGCACCGGCUAACUACGUG